Molecule: long non-coding RNA, 227 nt
Filed under: Elaeis guineensis (African oil palm)
Lineage: Eukaryota; Viridiplantae; Streptophyta; Magnoliopsida; Arecales; Arecaceae
Description: long non-coding RNA (EGUI_LNC071103)
Source: RNAcentral
GAUUUUGUUCAUUUGAUUCACUUUGAAAAAUUUAUUCAUGCUUUGCAAGCUUUAAUCUAGUCAUCAUUUCUAUUAUUUUACUCUGAUUGAUCAAUUUUAAGAAAUAAAUUUGAAAAAUAUGUCUCUUGAAUCUUUUGAAAUUGGUAGCAAGCUAAUUUUUCAAAUUGUCAACUAUUUUUGAGAAAUAGGUUUAAAACUUACUCUUCUUAAAUCUAUAAAUGGCCUCA